Molecule: ribosomal RNA, 1812 nt
Filed under: Salmonella enterica
Lineage: Bacteria; Pseudomonadati; Pseudomonadota; Gammaproteobacteria; Enterobacterales; Enterobacteriaceae
Description: partial 23S ribosomal RNA
Rfam family: Bacterial large subunit ribosomal RNA
Source: RNAcentral
AGACCCGAAACCCGGUGAUCUAGCCAUGGGCAGGUUGAAGGUUGGGUAACACUAACUGGAGGACCGAACCGACUAAUGUUGAAAAAUUAGCGGAUGACCUGUGGCUGGGGGUGAAAGGCCAAUCAAACCGGGAGAUAGCUGGUUCUCCCCGAAAGCUAUUUAGGUAGCGCCUCGUGAAUUCAUCUCCGGGGGUAGAGCACUGUUUCGGCCAGGGGGCCAUCCCGGCUUACCAAUCCGAUGCAAACUGCGAAUACCGGAGAAUGUUAUCACGGGAGACACACGGCGGGUGCUAACGUCCGUCGUGAAGAGGGAAACAACCCAGACCGCCAGCUAAGGUCCCAAAGUCAUGGUUAAGUGGGAAACGAUGUGGGAAGGCCCAGACAGCCAGGAUGUUGGCUUAGAAGCAGCCAUCAUUUAAAGAAAGCGUAAUAGCUCACUGGUCGAGUCGGCCUGCGCGGAAGAUGUAACGGGGCUAAACCAUGCACCGAAGCUGCGGCAGCGAACGUAUCACCCAAGACAACUUUGCACAGUUGACGAUUGACGGAGCGAAGCGACGUCAAAGCGUUUUACAACGUCGAGUUGGCUUAGGGAUACGUUCGUUGGGUAGGGGAGCGUUCUGUAAGCCGUUGAAGGUGUGUCGUGAGGCAUGCUGGAGGUAUCAGAAGUGCGAAUGCUGACAUAAGUAACGAUAAAGCGGGUGAAAAGCCCGCUCGCCGGAAGACCAAGGGUUCCUGUCCAACGUUAAUCGGGGCAGGGUGAGUCGACCCCUAAGGCGAGGCCGAAAGGCGUAGUCGAUGGGAAACGGGUUAAUAUUCCCGUACUUGGUGUUACUGCGAAGGGGGGACGGAGAAGGCUAUGUUGGCCGGGCGACGGUUGUCCCGGUUUAAGCGUGUAGGCUGACUUUCCAGGCAAAUCCGGAGAGUCAAGGCUGAGGCGUGACGACGAGGCACCACGGUGCUGAAGCAACAAAUGCCCUGCUUCCAGGAAAAGCCUCUAAGCCUCAGGUAACAUCAAAUCGUACCCCAAACCGACACAGGUGGUCAGGUAGAGAAUACCAAGGCGCUUGAGAGAACUCGGGUGAAGGAACUAGGCAAAAUGGUGCCGUAACUUCGGGAGAAGGCACGCUGACACGUAGGUGAAGCGGUUUACCCGUGGAGCUGAAGUCAGUCGAAGAUACCAGCUGGCUGCAACUGUUUAUUAAAAACACAGCACUGUGCAAACACGAAAGUGGACGUAUACGGUGUGACGCCUGCCCGGUGCCGGAAGGUUAAUUGAUGGGGUCAGCGCAAGCGAAGCUCCUGAUCGAAGCCCCGGUAAACGGCGGCCGUAACUAUAACGGUCCUAAGGUAGCGAAAUUCCUUGUCGGGUAAGUUCCGACCUGCACGAAUGGCGUAAUGAUGGCCAGGCUGUCUCCACCCGGGACUCAGUGAAAUUGAACUCGCUGUGAAGAUGCAGUGUACCCGCGGCAAGACGGAAAGACCCCGUGAACCUUUACUAUAGCUUGACACUGAACACUGGUCCUUGAUGUGCAGGAUAGGUGGGAGGCUUUGAAGUGUGGACGCCAGUCUGCAUGGAGCCAUCCUUGAAAUACCACCCUUUAAUGGCUGGUGUUCUAACGUGGACCCGUAAUCCGGGUUGCGGACAGUGUCUGGUGGGUAGUUUGACUGGGGCGGUCUCCUCCUAAAGAGUAACGGAGGAGCACGAAGGUUGGCUAAUCCUGGUCGGACAUCAGGAGGUUAGUGCAAUGGCAUAAGCCAGCUUGACUGCGAGCGUGACGGCGCGAGCAGGUGCGAAAGCAGGUCAUAGUGAUCC